UACAGAGGGUGCAAACGUUGCUCGGAAUUACUGGGCGUAAAGCGCGUGUAGGCGGUUCGUUCAGUCGUCUGUGAAAUCCCACGGCUCAACCAUGGAAGUGCAGACGAUACUGGCAAACUCGAGUCCUGGAGAGGGUGGCGGAAUUCCCAGUGUAGAGGUGAAAUGCGUAGAUAUUGGGAGGAACACCGGUGGCGAAGGCGGCCGCCUGGACAGGUACUGACGCUGAGGCGCGAAAGCGUGGGGAGCAAACAGG
RNAcentral lists this ribosomal RNA (253 nucleotides) under uncultured bacterium. RNAcentral's name for it is "partial 16S ribosomal RNA". It matches the Rfam family "Bacterial small subunit ribosomal RNA", at positions 524 to 776 of the family's 1533-position model. The record is from RNAcentral.